This 563-nucleotide long non-coding RNA is filed under the name Mus pahari (shrew mouse). RNAcentral's name for it is "predicted gene 1667 (MGP_PahariEiJ_G0006268.1)". Lineage: Eukaryota; Metazoa; Chordata; Mammalia; Rodentia; Muridae. The record is from RNAcentral.
GCGUUUUUAAUUACCUGCACGGCUGCUCCCUCCCAUUAGUGUGGGAAAUGAAGGGUUGAGCGUUUAGCACUUAACAGUGAUAAUCCCAGCGCAAAAACUUUCAGAACAGCCCAUUGAUCCCCAAGUCCGAUGGAUAUGAGCCUGCUUCAGGUGGCUUGGGCUAGCUCUGUAGCAUCUUCACUGUUUGGGAUGGAAUGAAUGGCUGGAGGAAGCUCAGACCCAGCAAGCAGCUCAAGCCAAGCAAGCCGCACUGGGCCGGGCAUCUGGGAUGUGAAAAGCUAGCUGGCCAGACUUGGAGGGCGUGCAAGGACGGCCAUCUCAAGGACACACACUGGAUGGGCAGGUGCCUUAUGGAGUCAGGACAAGUGUUCCGGAGCCUGGCAGCUGGGGCCUGUCUGCUGGGUUGCAUGACCUCUGCUUUCCUCGUUAGCGUCAGGUGUGACAGAGGCCAGAGCCCCACUUUCAUCUGGGGCUGCCAUCAGGGGUGACCCCUUGAGAGGCAGUCUGUACACUCAGCUGCCAAUCAACUGCAUGAGAUAUCCACUGCAUCAUGCACUCAUCUG